RNAcentral lists this ribosomal RNA (215 nucleotides) under Piroplasmida sp. Its description in RNAcentral is "partial small subunit ribosomal RNA". The stretch from base 39 to 215 matches the Rfam family "Eukaryotic small subunit ribosomal RNA", at positions 696 to 874 of the family's 1831-position model. The record is from RNAcentral. Lineage: Eukaryota; Apicomplexa; Aconoidasida; Piroplasmida.
UUCUGCCCCGUAGUUUUCGUCCGCUUCGGCGGUUUACGUUUACUUCGCGGCUUUUUCUGGUUAUUUUAGGCCCCGGUCUAUUUUAUCCAGUUAAUUACUUUGAGAAAAUUAGAGUGCUUCAAGCAGGCUUUUGCCUUGAAUACUUCAGCAUGGAAUAAUAAAGUAGGACUUUGGUUCUAUUUUGUUGGUUUCGUGAACCAAAGUAAUGGUUAAUA